This 459-nucleotide ribosomal RNA is filed under the name uncultured bacterium. RNAcentral describes it as "partial 16S ribosomal RNA". It matches the Rfam family "Bacterial small subunit ribosomal RNA", at positions 338 to 795 of the family's 1533-position model. The record is from RNAcentral.
CCUACGGGCGGCAGCAGUGAGGAAUAUUGGUCAAUGGCCGGAAGGCUGAACCAGCCAAGCCGCGUGAAGGACGAAGGUGCCAAGCAUUGUAAACUUCUUUUGUCAAGGGACAAAAUCAGGCUCGAGAGCCUGACCGUGGGUACCUGAAGAAAAAGCAUCGGCUAACUCCGUGCCAGCAGCCGCGGUAAUACGGAGGAUGCGAGCGUUAUCCGGAUUUAUUGGGUUUAAAGGGUGCGUAGGGGGGCUGUUAAGUCAGCGGUAAAAGCGCGGGUCUCAACCCCGGAGAGCCGUUGAAACUGGCUGUCUUGAGAAGAGGAGAGGUAUGCGGAAUGCGCAGUGUAGCGGUGAAAUGCUUAGAUAUUGCGAAGAACUCCGAUUGCGAAGGCAGCAUACCGGCGGCCAUCUGACGCUGAGGCACGAAAGCGUGGGUAUCGAACAGGAUUAGAUACCCUGGUAGUC